This 228-nucleotide long non-coding RNA is filed under the name Serinus canaria (Common canary). RNAcentral's name for it is "lncRNA (ENSSCAG00000001359.1)". The record is from RNAcentral. Lineage: Eukaryota; Metazoa; Chordata; Aves; Passeriformes; Fringillidae.
AUACAUGGGGGUAAAAAAGCAGGAGAGACUGAUUGGGAAUUACACGUUCAGCCUACAGCCAUUAAAGGGAAACAGUUGAACUGAUUCAGAUGCUUUCUUAGGAGGAGGAGGAGGAGGUAGAGAACACUGAGAAGUGUCUGAAUAUGAAGAGGUAAGAGCUCUGUGAAAAAAAUCAAAGCUGGGCUAUUCUGUUUGAGAUUUGUUCACCGUUGUGUCUGGUGCACAUGU